Molecule: long non-coding RNA, 494 nt
Filed under: Mus musculus (house mouse)
Lineage: Eukaryota; Metazoa; Chordata; Mammalia; Rodentia; Muridae
Description: long non-coding RNA chr5:30876968-30877462
Source: RNAcentral
GGUCUCUCAGGCCCAGUUGCACAGCAUCCAAGCCUCUUCUAGGCUGGGAGCCUCUCCACUUCUCCCUGUGGUCCUCCCAUCAUCACUCAAGCAGCCACAGUCCACCUCCAAAGAAGAGAAGUAACUGCCUUUCCUUGUCCCUGGUCAUGACUUAAAUCACAGCAGAGAAAAGGAAAGCACUUCAGGAGGGCCAGCACCACAGUGGGCAGCAGCAGUGUCACUUCUACCAGCAGCCUAGGUGACUGUCAGUGGACAUGCAGGCCAUGUGGACAGCCUGUUACCUCAAAACACCCAGAACAAGCACGCCUUCCCAGGAGGCCACUUGUCCCCUACUCUGUCAGAGCCUUGGCUUCUCAACUCCAUUCUGCUCGCUGCUGGGGCUCCUCUCUAUCAGCUUGGUUCACAGCACAGCCCACCUGAAGAGCAGCGCCCUCUGUCAGCCUGCUGAAGGGGGUCAGCAUAUGGCUCCUGGGGAGAAUAAAGACACAGACUGG